Molecule: non-coding RNA, 71 nt
Organism: Podarcis lilfordi (Lilford's wall lizard)
Lineage: Eukaryota; Metazoa; Chordata; Lepidosauria; Squamata; Lacertidae
Source: the annotation of a GenBank genome assembly
GGACUAUAUCUCAGUGGCAGAGCAUCUGAUUUGAAUGCAGAAAGUCACCGGUUCAAUCCCUGGCAUCUCCA